Molecule: ribosomal RNA, 1415 nt
Filed under: metagenome
Description: SSU rRNA
Rfam family: Eukaryotic small subunit ribosomal RNA
Source: RNAcentral
CUGAUUGAUCCUGUCAGCAGUAUUUGCUUGUUCAGAAGACUAAGCCAUGCAUGUAUAAGUUCACACCUUAAUACGGUGAAACCGCGAAUGGCUCAUUAAAUCAGCUAUUAUUUAUUAGAUCUUACAAGAUUACUUGGAUAACUGUAGUAAUUCUAGAGCUAAUACAUGAAUAUGUGCUUUGGUUCACGCCAAAUGCGAAUUUAUUAGAUCAAAACCAACCGGUUUCGGCCGUUAAAUUGGUGACUCUGGAUAACUAUUCUGAUCGCAUGACCUUGUGUCGGCGACGUAUCUUUCAAGUGUCUGCCCUAUCAACUUAAGUUGGUGAGUUAGUUGCUCACCAUGGUUAUAACGGGUAACGGAGAAUCAGUGUUCGAUACCGGAGAGGGAGCCUUAAAGACGGCUACCACAUCUAAGGAAGGCAGCAGGCGCGCAAAUUACCCACUCUCAGAACGAGGAGGUAGUGAAUUUAAAUAGCGAUGAUGAACUCUUAUGAGGCUCGUCAAUCGAAAUGAGUACAAUUUAAAUCCUUUAACGAGUACCAAUUGGAGGGCAAGUCUGGUGCCAGCAGCCGCGGUAAUUCCAGCUCCAAUAGCGAAUAUUAAAUUUGUUGCAGUUAAAAAGCUCGUAGUUGGAUCCAAGGUUAGGCAUGCCUGUCUGUUCUUAGUAGCAUGACUGUGUGUGUCUGCCUUUAUUAGUUGAAUGUUCAUUAUGGUGGUCUUCAUCGACUGCUAUGAUGUGCUCAACACGUUUACCUUGAAAAAAUCAGAGCGAUCAAGGCAGGCCUUCGUGCUUGUAUGUUGUUGCAAGGAAUAAUAGAAUAGGACUUCGGUUCUAUUUUGUUGGUUUUGAGAAUUGAAGUAAUGAACAAUAGAGACAGUCGGGGGCAUUUGUAUGGUGGCGUUAGAGGUGAAAUUCUGAGAUCGUCGCCAGACAAACUACUGCGAAAGCAUUUGCCAAGGAUGUCUUCAUUAAUCAAGAACGAAAGUCAGAGGUUCGAAGACGAUCAGAUACCGUCCUAGUUCUGACCAUAAACGAUGCCGACCUACAAUCGGGGGUGGUUUAUUAUAUUGACCCUCCCGGCUGUCCUCAGGAAACUUUAAGUUGGUUCUGGGGGGAAUAUGGUCUCAAGACUGAAACUUAAAGGAAUUGACGGAAGGGCACCACCAGGAGUGGAGCCUGCGGCUUAAUUUGACCCAACACGGGGAAUCUCACCCGGUCCGGACACUGGUAGGAUGGACAGAUUGAUAGCUCUUUCUUGAUUCAGUGGGUGGUGGUGCAUGGCCGUUCUUAGUUGGUGGAGUGAUUUGUCUGGUUAAUUCCGAUAACGAACGAGACUCUGUCCUGCUAAAUAGUCCAGUGGCAUCAAUCACUAUGUGAUUACAGCUGCUGUUACUUCUUAGAGGGAUUCGCAGAUU